GUGGGGGUAUUUCAGGGGUAGAAUCGUAGAUUGCAAUUGUCUUGUGUAAACAGGUAAUGAUCUAUUCGUCGCGGGUUCAAAUCCCGCUCCCCACU
Molecule: non-coding RNA, 95 nt
Organism: Kwoniella shivajii
Lineage: Eukaryota; Fungi; Basidiomycota; Tremellomycetes; Tremellales; Cryptococcaceae
Source: the annotation of a RefSeq genome assembly